Long non-coding RNA from Calliphora vicina (urban bluebottle blowfly), 733 nucleotides. RefSeq lists it as uncharacterized. Lineage: Eukaryota; Metazoa; Arthropoda; Insecta; Diptera; Calliphoridae. The transcript has 3 exons. The record is from RefSeq and is a predicted model, not a curated record.
GUCAGCGGUUGUGAGAUACGGCUAAAUAGAAAUAAUUAAAGAUUUGCCUAGAAUAAUUAAAGAUUUAGCAGUAUGAAACACCAUUGGAUUAAUCAUUACAUACUGAUGCAGUUUAUGGUGGCAGCAGUAGCCCCCACUAGCUACUAUUCAAUAAAUGCACCCGGUAAUAUAAAAUCAAAUCGAAAAUAUUCGGUUGUUGUAACUCUCCAUGAAGCCAGUGAACCGUGUUCUAUACGUCUUGCCAUUAAGGGACCUAGUUUCAAUGAGAUUCGUGAUGUAAAUUUAAAACCAUUUGAAUCAAAACUGAUAGAUUUUUUGCCCAAAAAAUUACUCGGCGGAGAUUACGAAUUAAGUGCUGAAGGCUUAUCGGGUUUGAGUUUCAAAAAUACAAGUCGUAUAUAUGAAAAAACAGAUUAUGGUCCAAAAAUUUACAUACAAACCGAUAAGGCAAUCUAUAAACCUCAAGAUUUAGUUCAAUUUCGUGUUCUAAUAUUGGAUGAACAUACGAGGCCGCUAAACAUCGAAGAUCCUGUCCGUGUGGAGAUAUUGGACCAUGAAGGUAAUCGUGUAAAACAAUUCAAGGAUAUUACGCUUACCAAAGGUGUUUAUACUGAUAAAUUCAAACUAUCCAAAUAUCCUGUUUUUGGAUUUUGGAAAAUCAAAGUUGUUCUAGGUGGAACAUAUGACUAUUCCAGCUCAAAAACCAUUACAAUAAAUAAUUAUAUUCUGCCAA